GAUGAACGCUGGCGGCGUGCCUAAUACAUGCAAGUCGAGCGGACGGACGAGAAGCUUGCUUCUCUGAUGUUAGCGGCGGACGGGUGAGUAACACGUGGAUAACCUACCUAUAAGACUGGGAUAACUUCGGGAAACCGGAGCUAAUACCGGAUGAUAUUUUGAACCGCAUGGUUCAAAAGUGAAAGACGGUCUUGCUGUCACUUAUAGAUGGAUCCGCGCUGCAUUAGCUAGUUGGUAAGGUAACGGCUUACCAAGGCAACGAUGCAUAGCCGACCUGAGAGGGUGAUCGGCCACACUGGAACUGAGACACGGUCCAGACUCCUACGGGAGGCAGCAGUAGGGAAUCUUCCGCAAUGGGCGAAAGCCUGACGGAGCAACGCCGCGUGAGUGAUGAAGGUCUUCGGAUCGUAAAACUCUGUUAUUAGGGAAGAACAUAUGUGUAAGUAACUGUGCACAUCCUGACGGUACCUAAUCAGAAAGCCACGGCUAACUACGUG
This 497-nucleotide ribosomal RNA is filed under the name uncultured bacterium. RNAcentral describes it as "partial 16S ribosomal RNA". It matches the Rfam family "Bacterial small subunit ribosomal RNA", at positions 28 to 507 of the family's 1533-position model. The record is from RNAcentral.